CAGGCUUAACACAUGCAAGUCGAGGGGCAACAUGGUCUUAGCUUGCUAAGGCCGAUGGCGACCGGCUCACGGGUGAGUAACGCGUAUCCAACCUGCCUUACACUCUUGGACAGCCUUCUGAAAGGGAGAUUAAUACAAGAUGUUAUCAUGAGUAAGCAUUUUCGCAUGAUUAAAGGUUUACCGGUGUAAGAUGGGGAUGCGUUCCAUUAGAUAGUAGGCGGGGUAACGGCCCACCUAGUCUUCGAUGGAUAGGGGUUCUGAGAGGAAGGUCCCCCACAUUGGAACUGAGACACGGUCCAAACUCCUACGGGAGGCAGCAGUGAGGAAUAUUGGUCAAUGGACGAGAGUCUGAACCAGCCAAGUAGCGUGAAGGAUGAAGGUUCUAUGGAUUGUAAACUUCUUUUAUACGGGAAUAAACGGAUCCACGUGUGGAUUUUUGCAUGUACCGUAUGAAUAAGGAUCGGCUAACUCCGUGCCAGCAGCCGCGGUAAUACGGAGGAUCCGAGCGUUAUCCGGAUUUAUUGGGUUUAAAGGGAGCGUAGAUGGGUUGUUAAGUCAGUUGUGAAAGUUUGCGGCUCAACCGUAAAAUUGCAAUUGAUACUGGCAGUCUUGAGUACAGUUGAGGUAGGCGGAAUUCGUGGUGUAGCGGUGAAAUGCUUAGAUAUCACGAAGAACUCCGAUUGCGAAGGCAGCUUACUAACCUGUAACUGACAUUGAUGCUCGAAAGUGUGGGUAUCAAACAGGAUUAGAUACCCUGGUAGUCCACACGGUAAACGAUGAAUACUCGCUGUAGGCGAUAUACAGUCUGCGGCCAAGCGAAAGCAUUAAGUAUUCCACCUGGGGAGUACGCCGGCAACGGUGAAACUCAAAGGAAUUGACGGGGGCCCGCACAAGCGGAGGAACAUGUGGUUUAAUUCGAUGAUACGCGAGGAACCUUACCCGGGCUUAAAUUGCAACCGAAUAUGGCGGAAACGCUAUAGCUAGCAAUAGCGGUUGUGAAGGUGCUGCAUGGUUGUCGUCAGCUCGUGCCGUGAGGUGUCGGCUUAAGUGCCAUAACGAGCGCAACCCUUGCCGAUAGUUACUAACAGGUCAUGCUGAGGACUCUGUCGGGACUGCCAUCGUAAGAUGUGAGGAAGGUGGGGAUGACGUCAAAUCAGCACGGCCCUUACGUCCGGGGCUACACACGUGUUACAAUGGGGGGUACAGAGGGCUGCUACCACGCAAGUGGAUGCCAAUCCCAAAAACCUCUCUCAGUUCGGAUUGAAGUCUGCAACCCGACUUCAUGAAGCUGGAUUCGCUAGUAAUCGCGCAUCAGCCACGGCGCGGUGAAUACGUUCCCGGGCCUUGUACACACCGCCCGUCAAGCCAUGGGAGCCGGGGGUACCUGAAGUGCGUAACCGCAAGGAGCGCCCUAGGGUAAAACUGGUGACUGGAGCUAAGUC
This 1442-nucleotide ribosomal RNA is filed under the name uncultured organism. Its description in RNAcentral is "16S ribosomal RNA". It matches the Rfam family "Bacterial small subunit ribosomal RNA". The record is from RNAcentral.